RNAcentral lists this ribosomal RNA (253 nucleotides) under uncultured bacterium. Its description in RNAcentral is "partial 16S ribosomal RNA". It matches the Rfam family "Bacterial small subunit ribosomal RNA", at positions 524 to 776 of the family's 1533-position model. The record is from RNAcentral.
UACAGAGGGGGCAAGCGUUGUUCGGAAUUACUGGGCGUAAAGGGCGCGUAGGCGGCCUGUUAAGUCGAACGUGAAAUCCCCGGGCUCAACCCGGGAACUGCGUCCGAUACUGGAUGGCUUGAAUCCGGGAGAGGGAUGCAGAAUUCCAGGUGUAGCGGUGAAAUGCGUAGAUAUCUGGAGGAAUACCGGUGGCGAAGGCGGCAUCCUGGACCGGCAUUGACGCUGAGGAGCGAAAGCUAGGGGAGCAAACGGG